UUCUUCCUUCUUUUCUUUUCUUUUCUUUUCUUUUUCUUUCAUCUUUUUCUUUCGUUUUCUUCUUCUCUUCUUCCUGUUCUCGUCGGUGAGAGAUUUAUGAGAUUAAGGUGAGAAUUGAUUGAGGAAAUUAGGUGAUGAGGUUGUGUAGAUGAUGAAGGAACUGAUAUUGUUGUCGAUUAAGCCCAGGGAGAAGAAGAAAUUGAUGUUUUCCGUAUGAGAAGUUAGGGUUUCAUAAAAACUUGUUCUGACAAGAUGUUGAGGAUGAAAUUGAAGGUUUGGGAGAAAGAUUGGAGAUGGGUUUGUCAUGAAUUUGGCUACGGCUAAAUGAUUGCUUGAAAUUAUUAGUCAAGGUUCGAGAAUUGGUAAAUUGAAGUUGUUUUGAAGAUUAGUGUUAAUAAAUUGUAGAAGAUGAAGUUAUUGAUUUAGGGGAUUGAAUUAAUGACGGGUUUUAUGGACUUGAAGAGUUUAAUUUAUGUUUUGAGAAUUAAAUUACAGUUUAGUUGAGAACUGGUGGUGAUGAUGGAACAUUUUGGUGUUGGAUGAACUGAUUUGAGGAGUUGUUGUUAGUCUUGAGGUGAAUUGCUGAACCGAGUCAAAUGAAGAAGGAAUUGAGUUCAAUUGCCUGAGUAACACAUAUUAAGGUAAUUGUUCUCGUAAUAAAGAUUAGUUCAAUUUCAGUUUUGAGUUAUAAGUUUCUCCAUGAGUUGUGAAUGAAAUUUGUUAUGGUUUGAGCUUUAUUAUUGUGGAAUAUGGGAUGGACAGAAUUAGAUGUAUGUCUAGGAGAUCGAUUGAGUGAUGAUGAUGUUGUUAUAGUUAUUAUGAAUUUAUCAAUAAGAUGGGAUUGAAAUGGUUAGUGGUAUUGAACUGAGAUGGGUGAAAGAAGGUCAUUGCUUAGCUGCAGUUGUAAAGAUUUGGAAGUGCAAAUAAAUUGAAUAUGAUCUCAGCUGAACUGUUGCAGGUGGUGGUUUGUUAUGAGUAACAGGGCUUUAGAAAUGGAACUACUAGUGUUGCAUUCACUGGUGCAGGGCCAGCUGGAGUUGCAGUUAUUGGAGUCUUGGGGUGCAGGUGUUAACGGGAAUGGAUGUGGUGGUGGCUGUGUAUGAUUGUGUUACAGUUAGUGGUGCAAGUAGUGGUUGUAUGUGCUGGGAAGAACUGAGAAUAAUUAUGUUGAUUUGUAGUAAACAGAGGAAGUGAAAUGAUUGGAUGUAGUUGCAGGUGGUAUGAUUUGUAAUCAUGGAUGAAUUAUACUACUGGCAUAGCAAGGUGUUGUGUGUAUUGGAGGUUGUAUGGAUGUGUAGUUUAUAUUACUCUGUCUUGCAGAUGAGUUGGUAGAUGCUGGGAUUGUGACAGUGGAACUGAAGUAGAUGAGGUGAUGUUGGGUUGGUUAAUAUGUCUGCGAAUCCGUAGAGUGAGUUAGCAGUCAUGAUAUUGGGAGAGGUGGAGUAUUUGAACUGGUGGCGACUUAGAUUGGAGUUAUGAGUGAGACGUACUGUUGAUACAAUUGGGUAUUGGUGUGUGUUGAGUUGGGAAAGUAGAAAUGAUGUGGGAAUGGUGAUUGUAGAAUCACAGUUGAAUAGUCUCCUUGAAAGCCCGUAGCUACUGCGAUUGCAGGUUGUAUGAGAAGUUAUAUGACUGAAGGCUUAGAAAGAGAGUUAGACGAAUGUGUUGAGAUGAUCUGGUAUUGCUUAAGAGCUGCGAUUGAAGUUUCAGAGACAGAUCAGAGUUGCGCAGCGAAAGCUUUGAGGAGUUGAUUACGUUAUUUAGAUUGCUUCCGCUAUGUUUAUUUUGUGUUUAUAUUCAUUUGUAAAUCAACUAACUAUUGAAUAUGUAUCAUUUGAGAGAAGUUAUAUAUAUAUAUAUAUAUAUCAGAGUGGGACUAGUUUUGGGUUAAGUUUUUGUAG
Papaver somniferum (opium poppy) is the source of this 1901-nucleotide long non-coding RNA. RefSeq lists it as uncharacterized. The transcript has 3 exons. The record is from RefSeq and is a predicted model, not a curated record. NCBI's taxonomy places the organism in Eukaryota, Viridiplantae, Streptophyta, Magnoliopsida, Ranunculales, Papaveraceae.